Diceros bicornis minor is the source of this 583-nucleotide long non-coding RNA. RefSeq lists it as uncharacterized. The transcript is spliced from 4 exons. NCBI's taxonomy places the organism in Eukaryota, Metazoa, Chordata, Mammalia, Perissodactyla, Rhinocerotidae. The record is from RefSeq and is a predicted model, not a curated record.
AGGCUCGGGCUUGCCGGGUAGCAGCUAUGGCUGGUGGUUGAAGCGUGUUCCUGCGGCCGCGGGCUGCUCCUGGCCAUCGUCGUCAUCCGAGGCCAUCGAGGGUCCCAGGCCGUGCUUGCCCUCUGCUGAGGCCGGGUCCAGGCUUCCAGUCAACUCGGAUCUCUUCAGUCCAAGUGCAGAUGCUGAGCACACCAGCCUCCACAGGGCUGUGGUCCAGAGACACUGUUUGUGAGGCUUGAGUUUCUGCAGUCCUAAGAGCGAGGUGCUGGCUGCCCUUUUGCCCAGAUUGUCUUUUCAAGGAUGUUCGAGUAGCAGACAGGCUUGGGAUGUAUGAGGUAGUGCCUCCCUUCAGAGCAGAGAGCAGUGUUUCAGCUGCAGAAAGCACAGGAUGCCAGAACUAGAAGAGACCUGAGAGAUGAUCCGUUCGGUGUCUGUCAGGCUGUCCAUGGAAUCUGCAGGGGUGUGGGCGCUGUGUUAUCUGCCUCCAGAAGAAGGAGCCUGGCUGUGCAUCAGGACCCAGCCCCCUCUGACAUUUCCUGAAUGAGGAACAAGGCAUAUAUAAUAAACAGAGUUUUAAAUGUGA